This is a long non-coding RNA of Cygnus olor (mute swan), 406 nucleotides long. RefSeq lists it as uncharacterized. Lineage: Eukaryota; Metazoa; Chordata; Aves; Anseriformes; Anatidae. The transcript has 4 exons. The record is from RefSeq and is a predicted model, not a curated record.
AAUUUUCUCAGUGUUAAAUCUUACUUGCCUGUCAGUAAAAACCUGGCUUAACUUAGUCUAAGGAGAUUCUAGAGUUAAUAUAAAUAUUCAUAUACAAAUAUGUAGUCCUGUUUGAGGUUCUGAAACCUUCAUUCGAAGAAAUUUCUAAAAACAGACUUCAUGCUAUACAGCGCUAUACUUAUGUUAUCUCUGGAGCAGGGGGAAAGGCAGCAAGAAGAGGUAAAUCCUUAUCAAGCAAGGAUUCCAUGGAAGAAAAAGAGCUAUGGAUUCAAAUCUACUUCAAAGACAAACAAAACAAAACAAAACAAAAAGACCCAAGGAACAAUAUGCACAACCUGGUAGCAGCUACUGGUUUGACAAACUGUUGUAUCUGAAUGCUGAACCAUAUUCUUGAUCUCAUGGGAAG